RNA transcript from Biomphalaria glabrata, 5391 nucleotides. It is a transcript of the gene named multiple epidermal growth factor-like domains protein 10, with no coding region annotated. The record is from RefSeq and is a predicted model, not a curated record. The transcript has 19 exons. Lineage: Eukaryota; Metazoa; Mollusca; Gastropoda; Planorbidae.
CAAAAAGUGUGAUAUUCAACUUAAAUUCGAUCCUACUUUUUAUAGCCAACUGAGUGGGAAAUUCGACAAGAACGGGGGGAAAAAAUGUCCCACCCAGUUGGAAAUUCGACCGGAAAUAAUCAAAAUUUCUGAGCCUCACGUUUCGGCAGUUUGACAGAUGAAAUUAAAUACGGUUUAUCUAGAACUACAGGGGAUUUAAGACGCCAUUUUGCCGAUACCGGAAUAUUGGAAAGAAGCUUCUAAACAAGAGUUGGCGAGAUCUCACAAAGGUACAUACAUACAUAUUUUCAACAUUAAAGAAUGGACAGGCCUGCCAUUGAGAGAGGUUCUAAACAAGGCAAAAAAAAGGGAGGAAUGGAGAAAGACGGUCAACAAAUCUUGCCCUGUGCCCCAACGGUCCAACAGACUAAGGAAUAGGUAAAGGGGUAAAGGACGAAGGUAAUAUAUCUCCCUGACGACAAAUAUAGCCAUGGACUUUGUAUCGAAUCUUUGUGUAAUUUAUUUUCUUAUUCAAGUUAAUCAAAUAUUUGCACAAUGUCCUCAAGGCAUGUUUGGCGCGAAUUGCAAAGACAUGUGUCACUGUGAUGACUAUUCAUGUAACACUGAAGGCGAAUGUAAUACCUGUAAUUUUCUGACAUUUAGUUACAAAUGUCAAUACUUUAAUAGAUUUUACGAAGCCAAAACAGACAUAGCAAAUAUUGAUAUAACUGACAUAUUAUCUGAUGGCAAUGAUUCGACAUGCACCUCCCUAACAGGAGAAAACAUCAUUAUAGAUCUUAGUGGUCGUUUUUCUGUAACUUGGCUUAGAUUUGUAACUUCAAAACCAGAUGACCUGCAGUACGGUUUCAACAUUACCUUCCAAGAUGACAAAUCACAAUCAGUGAAUCUUUCAGGAAACGAAACUCUAAUUGUCGUUGAUAAAACCAUCGACGUUCAUUUUCAGCUGAAUUCUGAAUUCAUACAAUAUAUUAUUUUAGGUGGAAAAGUGGUACAAGAAAUGUGCACACUAUUUAUAAGCUCAGGUCAAUUAGUUUCCUUAGGAAAAACUGCAUACUACAGUACACCUAGCACAGAUACCUUUAAGAUUCUGUUUCCAGAAGCUUUAGAUUUUGAAGAGUUUACAUCUGAAAAAUAUAAUGUCGAUGGUGGUACACUGUGGGAAAUUGAUCUGGAAUCUUCCUACAUUGUUCAAAAUUUUCAGAUUUAUUUUGAUGAUGCAGUCUUUUCCAGAGCUGUAAUAGAAGCAAGUGACAGUGGUGGCACCUUGAUCUACACUCGGAUAGUUGAAUAUUAUCAGAAAAGAUAUAUUUUAUUUUAUUCUUCGGUAACAACACCAGUACGAUAUAUAAACUUUAUUGCUGAAGAUGCAAAUAAUUCAAGUUUAACUAUUCUAUUACACGAGUUAAAGGCUUUCGGUGAGUGCCCAGAAGGAUCUUGGGGUGUUCAGUGCAGGGAAAACUGUAGCAGUGACUGUCCAGAGUCCUGCCGUUUUGACGAUGGACUUUGUACUAAAUAUUGCCUCGGUUAUAGUGACCCACCAAAAUGUCAAACAGUAUGUAAUAUUGGAACAUGGGGUGUAAACUGUUCCAAUCCAUGCAGCAAUAGAUGCUUAAAUCAAACUUGUGACAGAAUAACUGGGAAAUGCAAUAAAGGAUGUCUUGGCUACAAAGAUACACCAGACUGUACCAUUGAAUGUGACACUGGUUCAUGGGGUAUAAAUUGUGCCUCUAACUGUAGCAAAUGCUUUAACUCUACCUGCAACAGUCUGACAGGCUUGUGUGAUCAAGGAUGUUUAGGUUACAGAGACCCACCUGACUGUUCUAUUGAAUGUGAUACUGGAACCUGGGGUGUCAACUGCUCAAGUCAAUGCAGCGAUAAAUGCUUCAAUAAAUCUUGUGACAGCAUAACUAGCAAAUGUGCUCAUGGAUGUCUUGGCUUUAGCGAUCCACCAGACUGUACAACUAAAUGUGACACUGGUUCAUGGGGUAUAAAUUGUGUCUCUAACUGUAGUAAAUGCUUUAACUCAACCUGCAACAGUCAAACUGGAUUGUGUGAUCACGGAUGUUUAGGUUACAGAGACCCACCUGACUGUGCGAUUGAAUGUGACACUGGUACAUGGGGUAGAAAUUGUGGCACUAACUGUAGCAAAUGCUACAAUUCAAUAUGUAACAGUAAAACUGGAUUGUGUGAUCAAGGCUGUUUAGGAUACAGUGACCCACAGAGCUGUGAAUUGGACUGUGACACUGGUACAUGGGGUAGAAAUUGUGCCUCUAACUGUAGCAGAUGUUUUAAUUCAACAUGCAACAGUACAACUGGCUUGUGUGAUCAAGGAUGUUUAGGUUACAGCGACCCACCUACCUGUAUGACGGAAUGUGGAUCUGGAUAUUGGGGCUUGAAUUGCACCUAUCGAUGCAGCGAUAAAUGUAUACAUAAAUCAUGUGACAGAAAAAGCGGUGUAUGUGAUAAUGAUGAUGGCCUUAACCUUAGUAACGUCAGAGUUUAUCAAGCGAAGCUACCAUCGCCAUUGCAGUUAGUCUAUCAUUGUUUGGACUCAUAGUAGUUAUAGUAGUCUUUGUUGUAUUGAAGAACAAAGGCGUGGCAUGUUUUGGUACAGCCGCUGCAGUAGUGCCACAGAACUAAAGAACGGCAAUAAAUGUCGUAACAAAAUGUCCAAGGUAAAAAAAAAAAUGCAUUUCAAAAACAUAGAGAGCAGGACAGGGGAAGAAACACGGGAAAGAGGGGAUAAAGAGAGAAAGAGACAAAGGGAGAAUAGAAAGAGAAAAAAAAAAGGAGAAAGUGUAAAAAUUGAUAAGAGCUAAAUAGACAAAGAGGGAGAAGAGAAAUGCACGAAAGAGUGAUGGAAAUAAAGAGAGGAAGAGUUGAAGACAUAUACAGUGAUAAAGUUCAGAGUGAAACGGAUUAAAAUGUAAAAAGGGGAGUGUGUUUAUUUCUGAAACAAAAAAAGAAAGGUUUAGCCUCUGUCCAAUACUUAUCAAUUUUUAUCUUUUGAAUUUCCAUCUCUAAAUUGUUUUUAUGUAAAAAAAAAAUUGUAAAAGAGGAGAAGAAGAUAGAAAGAAAGUUAAACUAACUUAGCAAGAACUAUUGUGCUUUCUGACAUCGAAUAUUCAAUGGCUUCAUUAAAGUAUUAAGGCUUCCAUCAUUUUCGAAGCGACUAUUUAUCAUCCAAUAGAAGCAAGAUGAAUGCCUGGGCAUGAGCUAUGGUCUCAACGAUGUCGCCCACAUAUCUGUUUCCCCCUCGCCACGCAGCUGAUGUAUCCAAAGGAGUGGCAAGUCGAAGGCUCUGCCAGGAUGUAUCACUAUGUGCUGCAAACUGCCUAGGUGUCCCAGAUCCAAAUUCGUUCUUCACUGUUGACUGCAAACUGCCUAGGUGUCCCAGAUCCAAAUUCGUUCUUCACUGUUGACUGCAAACUGCCUAGGUGUCCCAGAUCCAAAUUCGUUCUUCACUGUUGACUUCUAAAGCCUUCCCCAUGAUUGGUUAGAGCUUCUUGCAUUAAGUAAAAAUUGUAUGAACGUAUGUUUCCAUUGCUUUGGUUGUUAUGUUUUGUUAUGCUUAAUGCACACAUUGUAAGACAAAUAUCGCGAUGAUAAUGAUAUUAUUUAAUAAUAAUAUUAUUAUUAAUAUUAUUAACAUUAUUUUCGGCUGAAUUAACGGUCAAGCCAAAGACAUUAGACGUUUAGACAGUCUCUAAGAGAAUAUGAUUUAAUAUUUUUAUCUAUGUAUCUAUCUCUUUACCUAUCUAUGUAUCUUUAAAACUCUCUCUCUCUCUCUCUCUUUCUUUCUUUAUAUAUUUAAUAAUUUAUUUUACAGCAGAUUACUACUGGUUACCUAUGAAGUCAUUCAAGGCAAAGAUAUAAUUAUCUAGAUGUACUCAUACAAAACAUUAGUAUCUCUCUUUCUUUUUUAAAACAUUAUUAUAAAAUUUACAAACCAAAUGCAUUAAAACGGCUACGCAAAAAUGACAUGGUGCGCCUCUGUCAUUAUAAAUCAUUCUUCAUUUCUCUCUGGUAUUUACAUGAACUAGAAUUUCUUUCACUGACAAACCCGUCCAUUCUCUCUAUCAAUGACAAGCCCGUCCAUUCUCUCUAUCAAUGACAAGCCCAUCCAUUCUCUCUUUCAAUAACAAGCCCAUCCAUUCUCUCUUUCAAUAACAAGCCCGUCCAUUCUCUCUUUCAAUAACAAGCCCAUUCAUUCUCUCUUUCAAUAACAAGCCCAUCCAUUCUCUCUUUCAAUAACAAGCCCGUCCAUUCUCUCUUUCAAUAACAAGCCCGUCCAUUCUCUCUUUCAAUAAAAAGCUCGUCCAUUCUCUCUAUCAAUGAUAAGCCCAUCCAUUCUCUCUUUCAAUAACAAGCCCAUCCAUUCUCCCUUUCAAUAACAAGCCCGUCCAUUCUCUCUUGUUGUCUUCCUAUCACUUUCUUGUUCACUGUUCCCUGCUGAAAGGCUUUUUUGAGGUCACAGCGAAUAAAGGAGCUAGCUUACACAAUAUCAAGAGGAGUCUGUUUCAUGUGUUUCAUAUGAUCGAAUCUUACUAUAUUUUAAACCAAACCUUGCACAGGACGAUGGAGGUUGGAAGCAAAGCAGGGUUGAAACUGUGGAUGAUCCUGACGAAAGUUUAGAGCUAAUACCAAUAGAACAUAAGAACAGGCAGCCAUCCCAUUGUGUCACCUGGUUGGUCGUUAGCGUUUUUGUGUCCAGUACUAUGGUGGAGAUGUGGAGUCUUGAGAUACGAGUUAUAAGUGAUAUAUUUGGGGCUUUUUCUUUAAUUCCAUUUAUCUAACUCACCAUUUCUUUCAUUUAAACAUAUUAAUAGUGCUGUCAUUAUUUAUGUAAAUGUGAUAUUUGUAUGCACCAUUCCUGAUUUCAGCACUGAACUAUAUACAUUUCUGUUAGUUUUUAAUACACAUUUUUUUAUUGUUGGAAUAUGAUCUUAUUAGAAUAAAUAAAAUAUAUAAUUGUUUUAUAAAUUCUUUUAGAUUUUUUUUAUGGUAAUCUGCUUACCCACCCAUGUAUCGAGUGAUUUACUUACUUUACACCAUCAUAUAUUUAUUAAUCUCACACAGCGGUUACGCCUGAUGGAUUUUUCCUCUAUCUUAUCUUAUCUUAUCUUAUCUUAUAAAAUACAGACAUUACUUCAAAAAAGAAGAUGAUUACGUCCUACGCGUCAUGCAUUUAGUCAUGCAUAUUAACCAAAGACUUAAAUUCAGCCAAAUCACUGGUUUUCCUGGCUAGCUCAGGCAACCCAUUCCAUGCUCUAAUAGCACUAGGGAAGAAGGAGUGUUUCUACAAAUUUGUCCUAGCAUAUGGGACAAGGAAUGUGCCUUUAUCAUUGUGUAUUUCAGAGUAUUUUAUUAAAUUUUGUUUUUGUAUUUGAA